RNAcentral lists this unclassified non-coding RNA (263 nucleotides) under plant metagenome. RNAcentral describes it as "partial contains small subunit ribosomal RNA, internal transcribed spacer 1, and 5.8S ribosomal RNA". The record is from RNAcentral.
UUUCCGUAGGUGAACCUGCGGAAGGAUCAUUGUUGUAUAACCGAGGUGCGAGGGCUGUCGCUGACCCGAAAGGUCGUGCACGCCCGAGUGCCCUCACACGCAUCCAUCUCACCCCUAUGUGCACCACCGCGUGCGUCCCCCUUUGGCUUGUUCGGAGGGGGGCUUACGUUUUCACACAAACUUUGUAUGCAGUGUAGAAUGUAUUUUUUGUUUUUGCGAUCACGCAAUCAAUACAACUUUCAACAACGGAUCUCUUGGCUCUC